CGAGUUACCGUUUAUUUGAUUGUGUGACUUGCAUCUUGAUUUAAUUUUGAACGAGUGGCGGACGGGUGAGUAACACGUGGGUAACCUGCCCUUAAGUGGGGGAUAACAUUUGGAAACAGAUGCUAAUACCGCAUAAAUCCAAGAACCGCAUGGUUCUUGGCUGAAAGAUGGCGUAAGCUAUCGCUUUUGGAUGGACCCGCGGCGUAUUAGCUAGUUGGUGAGGUAACGGCUCACCAAGGCAAUGAUACGUAGCCGAACUGAGAGGUUGAUCGGCCACAUUGGGACUGAGACACGGCCCAAACUCCUACGGGAGGCAGCAGUAGGGAAUCUUCCACAAUGGACGCAAGUCUGAUGGAGCAACGCCGCGUGAGUGAAGAAGGCUUUCGGGUCGUAAAACUCUGUUGUUGGAGAAGAAUGGUCGGCAGAGUAACUGUUGUCGGCGUGACGGUAUCCAACCAGAAAGCCACGGCUAACUACGUGCCAGCAGCCGCGGUAAUACGUAGGUGGCAAGCGUUAUCCGGAUUUAUUGGGCGUAAAGCGAGCGCAGGCGGUUUUUUAAGUCUGAUGUGAAAGCCCUCGGCUUAACCGAGGAAAUGCAUCCNAAACUGUGGAACUUUNGUGCAGAANANGACAGUGUANCUCCAUGUGUAGCGGUGAAAUGCGUCNAUAUAAGGAAGGGAAAUGAGGAUCUAAGUUGUUUGUUUGGUCUGUAACUGACGCUGAGGCUCGAAAGCAUGGGUAGCGAACAGGAUUAGAUACCCUGGUAGUCCAUGCCGUAAACGAUGAAUGCUAGGUGUUGGAGGGUUUCCGCCCUUCAGUGCCGCAGCUAACGCAUUAAGCAUUCCGCCUGGGGAGUACGACCGCAAGGUUGAAACUCAAAGGAAUUGACGGGGGCCCGCACAAGCGGUGGAGCAUGUGGUUUAAUUCGAAGCAACGCGAAGAACCUUACCAGGUCUUGACAUCUUUUGAUCACCUGAGAGAUCAGGUUUCCCCUUCGGGGGCAAAAUGACAGGUGGUGCAUGGUUGUCGUCAGCUCGUGUCGUGAGAUGUUGGGUUAAGUCCCGCAACGAGCGCAACCCUUAUGACUAGUUGCCAGCAUUUAGUUGGGCACUCUAGUAAGACUGCCGGUGACAAACCGGAGGAAGGUGGGGAUGACGUCAAAUCAUCAUGCCCCUUAUGACCUGGGCUACACACGUGCUACAAUGGAUGGUACAACGAGUUGCGAGACCGCGAGGUCAAGCUAAUCUCUUAAAGCCAUUCUCAGUUCGGACUGUAGGCUGCAACUCGCCUACACGAAGUCGGAAUCGCUAGUAAUCGCGGAUCAGCACGCCGCGGUGAAUACGUUCCCGGGCCUUGUACACACCGCCCGUCACACCAUGAGAGUUUGUAACACCCGAAGCCGGUGGCGUAACCCUUUUAGGGAGCGAGCCGUCUAAGGUGGGACAAAUGAUUAGGGUGAAGUCGUAACAAGGUAGCCGUAGGAGAACCUGCGGCUGGAUCACCUCCUUUCUAAGGAAACAGACUGAAAGUCUGACGGAAACCUGCCCACACGAAACUUUGUUAUUUUUUGAAAG
RNAcentral lists this ribosomal RNA (1574 nucleotides) under Lacticaseibacillus rhamnosus. RNAcentral's name for it is "bacterial SSU rRNA". It matches the Rfam family "Bacterial small subunit ribosomal RNA". The record is from RNAcentral. Lineage: Bacteria; Bacillati; Bacillota; Bacilli; Lactobacillales; Lactobacillaceae.